CUGUGUUUUAGUUAUCUUCUCAUGCUUUUUUCUUUUGGAAUGGUUACCACCUACUUUAUCUACUGACUGCAAUAUAGGUUGGAUACUAACUUGACUAAGAAGGUUGUACUUUUGUGGAAGUUACUGGUCAUAAUAGUGCUGCAAUGACAAUAAAUACAAAUACAUAUGAAUUAAAAAACUGUAACGAGGAAUGUCCAUCAAAGUCAAAUUCAAGGGGCUCGGCAUACUACAUCAAAAGACUGAGAUGGCAAUUGAGUCAAACGUGCUAAAUCACAAGGCUUCACAGAGAAAUAUCUUCGGAUAUAUAAAGAUAUCCAUCUAGCUCUUGGCAGCGUUUUAAACAAACCACUACGCGUUCUCAGGCACUUAUAAAAUGUCUAUCAAUGCAUCCGCUUUUUUAAUCCGCUUACGAAGUACAUCGAAUUAUAGAUAGUUUGUCCUUGUAUACAAUAUUCUUUAGGCAUUUCCAAAGGAAGAAGUCCGAAUAAGAAACGUUGGGAGAAAGAGCUUAUGGCAGUUUAGCGUGAAUUGGCUUUUGUUUGACGAAAUAAUUUUGUUAAGCAAAUUGGAGUUUUCUUCGAAUUUUGAAAACAUGAUAUCACAAAACUUCAUUCUUUUGACGAAAUUAUUUUCACAUAGCUUUGAAUUAUCAUUUUACUUGACUUAAUGGUUAAAAGCUUAUUUCUUGAAUAGCAUUACAAUUACUGCUCGUACUCAUCCCCAUCUUGAUAACACCCAUUCAAAUUGACAAAUUAUCGGUUUCUUUGAUCAUUUCUCUAACUUUUUGAACCUCUGUGAUAAUAGAAUGAGAGCAGACGAAUCUUUCUUGAUCGUAAAUACUGCAUGUCCACUGCCCGUCCUCCUAAACUUAUUAAUUAAAUUUCGUGAAUACUGCCUGUCCUCCUAAACUUUUUAAUUAAAUUUUAAAUUGUUUUCUAAUGUGGUGGUA
Molecule: non-coding RNA, 949 nt
Organism: Hydra vulgaris (swiftwater hydra)
Lineage: Eukaryota; Metazoa; Cnidaria; Hydrozoa; Anthoathecata; Hydridae
Source: RefSeq, a predicted model, not a curated record